Molecule: long non-coding RNA, 295 nt
Filed under: Oryza sativa Indica Group (long-grained rice)
Lineage: Eukaryota; Viridiplantae; Streptophyta; Magnoliopsida; Poales; Poaceae
Description: lncRNA OsMH63_10G009490
Source: RNAcentral
AUGCCACCCCGUCCCGGGUUCUCCUUCGACCAAAACUGGCGAGGUGGCCGGCGGGUGGUGAAACGAAGGGGUCCUGGGCCAGCUCUCAGGGACAGUGGUUUGAUGGAGUCGGCUGACGGAGGGACAUCGGUGUGGUGCGGUGGAAGCUGCAUGCUACCAUCUGUCUAUGUGGUGGGUCCCAGGCAAAAGGCUAGUCCGGUGGUUCAUCGGACCGGCAGCGGCUACGCCUUCAGGCAUCGUAACCUCCUUGGGACAUUGUCGAGGGUUACCCUCUCCCUUUCUUGACGAGCAUCUU